This 465-nucleotide ribosomal RNA is filed under the name uncultured bacterium. RNAcentral's name for it is "bacterial SSU rRNA". It matches the Rfam family "Bacterial small subunit ribosomal RNA", at positions 32 to 498 of the family's 1533-position model. The record is from RNAcentral.
AAUCAACGCUGGCGGCGUGCCUAACACAUGCAAGUCGAACGCGAAAGUCCCGCAAGGGAUUAGUAGAGUGGCAAACGGGUGAGUAACACGUGGGUGACCUGCCUUCGAGCGGGGGAUAACGUCCCGAAAGGGACGCUAAUACCGCAUAACAUCCUGCCUUUUAAGAGGUGGAGAUCAAAGCCGGGGAGUCGCAAGACCUGGCACUUGAAGAGGGGCCCGCGCCUGAUUAGCUAGUUGGGAGGUAACGGCUCACCAAGGCGACGAUCAGUAGCUGGUCUGAGAGGAUGAUCAGCCACAUUGGGACUGAGACACGGCCCAAACUCCUACGGGAGGCAGCAGUGGGGAAUAUUGGACAAUGGGCGCAAGCCUGAUCCAGCCAUGCCGCGUGAGUGAUGAAGGCCCUAGGGUUGUAAAGCUCUUUUGUGCGGGAAGAUAAUGACGGUACCGCAAGAAUAAGCCCCGGCU